GGCCGGUUAGCUCAGUUGGUUAGAGCGUCGUGCUAAUAACGCGAAUGUCGUGUGUUCGAUCCCCAUUCUGGCUA
This 74-nucleotide transfer RNA is filed under the name Octopus bimaculoides (California two-spot octopus). RNAcentral describes it as "transfer RNA isoleucine (anticodon AAU)". It matches the Rfam family "tRNA". From Rfam's summary of the family: Transfer RNA (tRNA) molecules are approximately 80 nucleotides in length. Their secondary structure includes four short double-helical elements and three loops (D, anti-codon, and T loops). Further hydrogen bonds mediate the characteristic L-shaped molecular structure. tRNAs have two regions of fundamental functional importance: the anti-codon, which is responsible for specific mRNA codon recognition, and the 3' end, to which the tRNAs corresponding amino acid is attached (by aminoacyl-tRNA synthetases). tRNAs cope with the degeneracy of the genetic code in two manners: having more than one tRNA (with a specific anti-codon) for a particular amino acid; and 'wobble' base-pairing, i.e. permitting non-standard base-pairing at the 3rd anti-codon position. Lineage: Eukaryota; Metazoa; Mollusca; Cephalopoda; Octopoda; Octopodidae. The record is from RNAcentral.